Molecule: ribosomal RNA, 454 nt
Filed under: marine Metazoa environmental sample
Lineage: Eukaryota; Metazoa
Description: SSU rRNA
Rfam family: Eukaryotic small subunit ribosomal RNA
Source: RNAcentral
AGCUCCACUAGCGUAUAUUAAAGUUGCUGCAGUUAAAAAGCUCGUAGUCGGAUCUCGGGAUCGUGUCGGUGAUUUGGUUGCUUCUCCUGCGUUUCGGCGCUGGGGGUUGUGGCCGGUCAUCGGCCCUGCCGGCGAGGUCCCUACCUUUGGUGGGGUUCCACCUCGCUCGUGCAGCCCGCCGUCGCGAUUUGGCGGGUGUCCUUAAUUUGAUGCCCGUCUCGAUCGUGACCCUUUACCUUGAACAAAUCGGAGUGCUCAAAGCAGGCUCUCUAUCGCUCGAACGGUAGCGCAUGGAAUAAUGGAAGAGGACUUGCUUCCGCUUCUGUUGGGCUCACGGAGGCAGGUAAUGAUCAAGAGGGACGGACGGGGACAGAGGUAUGUCUCGGCGAGAGGUGAAAUUCUUGGACCCUAGACAGACCCUCGAGAGCGAAAGCAUCUGUCAAGGAUGUUUCCA